UACGUAGGGGGCAAGCGUUGUCCGGAUUUAUUGGGCGUAAAGAGCUCGUAGGCGGUUCUGUAAGUCAGGUGUGAAACCUCCAGGCUCAACCUGGAGACGCCACCUGAUACUGCUGUGACUCGAGUCCGGUAGGGGAGCGUGGAAUUCCUGGUGUAGCGGUGAAAUGCGCAGAUAUUAGGAGGAACACCAGCGGCGAAGGCGGCGCUCUGGGCCGGAACUGACGCUGAGGAGCGAAAGCGUGGGUAGCAAACAGG
This 254-nucleotide ribosomal RNA is filed under the name uncultured bacterium. RNAcentral describes it as "partial 16S ribosomal RNA". It matches the Rfam family "Bacterial small subunit ribosomal RNA", at positions 524 to 776 of the family's 1533-position model. The record is from RNAcentral.